UACGAAGGGGGCUAGCGUUGCUCGGAAUCACUGGGCGUAAAGCGCACGUAGGCGGAUCGCUAAGUCAGGGGUGAAAUCCUGGAGCUCAACUCCAGAACUGCCCUUGAUACUGAGGAUCUCGAGUUCGGGAGAGGUGAGUGGAACUGCGAGUGUAGAGGUGAAAUUCGUAGAUAUUCGCAAGAACACCAGUGGCGAAGGCGGCUCACUGGCCCGAUACUGACGCUGAGGUGCGAAAGCGUGGGGAGCAAACAGG
This 253-nucleotide ribosomal RNA is filed under the name uncultured bacterium. RNAcentral's name for it is "partial 16S ribosomal RNA". It matches the Rfam family "Bacterial small subunit ribosomal RNA", at positions 524 to 776 of the family's 1533-position model. The record is from RNAcentral.